RNAcentral lists this ribosomal RNA (468 nucleotides) under uncultured bacterium. Its description in RNAcentral is "partial 16S ribosomal RNA". It matches the Rfam family "Bacterial small subunit ribosomal RNA", at positions 28 to 507 of the family's 1533-position model. The record is from RNAcentral.
GACGAACGCUGGCGGCGUGCUUAACACAUGCAAGUCGAACGGAAAGGCCCUGCUUUUGUGGGGUGCUCGAGUGGCGAACGGGUGAGUAACACGUGAGUAACCUGCCCUUGACUUUGGGAUAACUUCAGGAAACUGGGGCUAAUACCGGAUAGGAGCUCCUGCUGCAUGGUGGGGGUUGGAAAGUUUCGGCGGUUGGGGAUGGACUCGCGGCUUAUCAGCUUGUUGGUGGGGUAGUGGCUUACCAAGGCUUUGACGGGUAGCCGGCCUGAGAGGGUGACCGGCCACAUUGGGACGGAGAUACGGCCCAGACGCCUACGGGAGGCAGCAGGGGGGAAUAUUGCACAAUGGGCGGAAGCCUGAUGCAGCAACGCCGCGUGCGGGAUGACGGCCUUCGGGUUGUAAACCGCUUUCGCCUGUGACGAAGCGUGAGUGACGGUAAUGGGUAAAGAAGCACCGGCUAACUACGUG